CCUACGGGAGGCAGCAGUGAGGAAUAUUGGUCAAUGGGCGCAAGCCUGAACCAGCCAAGUCGCGUGAGGGAUGACGGUCCUAUGGAUUGUAAACCUCUUUUGUCAGGGAGCAACGCCGGCUACGUGUAGCCGGACUGAGAGUACCUGAAGAAAAAGCAUCGGUUAAUUCCGUGCCAGCAGCCGCGGUAAUACGGAGGAGGCGAGCGUUAUCCGGAUUUAUUGGGUUUAAAGGGUGCGUAGGCGGAAUGCCAAGUCAGCGGUAAAAUCGCGGGGCUCAACCUCGCUCCGCCGUUGAAACUGGCGGUCUUGAGUGGGCGAGAAGUAUGCGGAAUGCGUGGUGUAGCGGUGAAAUGCAUAGAUAUCACGCAGAACUCCGAUUGCGAAGGCAGCAUACCGGCGCCCAACUGACGCUGAAGCACGAAAGCGUGGGUAUCGAACAGGAUUAGAUACCCCUGUAGUC
Molecule: ribosomal RNA, 460 nt
Filed under: uncultured bacterium
Lineage: Bacteria
Description: partial 16S ribosomal RNA
Rfam family: Bacterial small subunit ribosomal RNA
Source: RNAcentral